UACAGAGGGUGUGAGCGUUAAUCGGAAUUACUGGGCGUAAAGCGUGCGUAGACGGUAGCGUAAGUCAGAUGUGAAAGCCCCGGGCUCAACCUGGGAAUUGCAUUUGAGACUGCUCUGCUCGGGUGCGGAAGAGGGAAGCGGAAUUUCCGGUGUAGCGGUGAAAUGCGUAGAUAUCGGAAGGAACACCAGUGGCGAAAGCGGCUUCCUGGUCCGACACCGACGUUCAGGCACGAAAGCGUGGGGAGCAAACAGG
This 253-nucleotide ribosomal RNA is filed under the name uncultured bacterium. Its description in RNAcentral is "partial 16S ribosomal RNA". It matches the Rfam family "Bacterial small subunit ribosomal RNA", at positions 524 to 776 of the family's 1533-position model. The record is from RNAcentral.